ACAUUUUGCUUCUUUAGUGUUGCUUGUCCUUUUACUACUACUUUUUUACUUUUUUUUUAUUUCUGCGGCGAAUCCUUUUGUGCAUAGUAAUAGAGUAAUUUAAGAAACACUUCAAUUGAAAAAAGAAAACA
Molecule: non-coding RNA, 131 nt
Filed under: Heterosigma akashiwo
Lineage: Eukaryota; Raphidophyceae; Chattonellales; Chattonellaceae
Source: RNAcentral